CCCUUAGAUGUUCUGGGCCGCACGCGCGCUACACUGACGGAGGCAGCGAGCAUGUCCUUCGCCGAGAGGUGUGGGGAAUCUUGUGAGUCUCCGUCGUGCUGGGGAUAGAUGGUUGCAAUUGUCGAUCUUGAACGAGGAAUUCCUAGUAAGCGCGAGUCAUCAGCUCGCGCUGAUUACGUCCCUGCCCUUUGUACACACCGCCCGUCGCUCCUACCGAUUGAAUGAUCCGAUGAAUAUCAUGGAUUGAGGAUGCAAGCAGGUUCGCCUGUCUUCAUCUUCGAGAAGUGAAGUAAAUCUUAUCAUUUAGAGGAAGGAGAAGUCGUAACA
RNAcentral lists this ribosomal RNA (327 nucleotides) under uncultured eukaryote. RNAcentral's name for it is "partial 18S ribosomal RNA". It matches the Rfam family "Eukaryotic small subunit ribosomal RNA", at positions 1470 to 1796 of the family's 1831-position model. The record is from RNAcentral.